Mizuhopecten yessoensis (Yesso scallop) is the source of this 562-nucleotide long non-coding RNA. RefSeq lists it as uncharacterized. The record is from RefSeq and is a predicted model, not a curated record. NCBI's taxonomy places the organism in Eukaryota, Metazoa, Mollusca, Bivalvia, Pectinida, Pectinidae. The transcript is spliced from 3 exons.
ACAAAGUGACAUCAUGAUAGGUCCACACAAAGUGACAUCAUGAUAGGUCCACACAAAGUGACAUUAUGAUAGGUCCACACAAAGUGACAUCAUGAUAGGUCCACACAAAGUGACAUCAUGAUAGGUCCACACAAAGUGACAUUAUGAUAGGUCCACACAAAGUGACAUCAUGAUAGGUCCACACAAAGUGACAUUAUGAUAGGUCCACACAAAGUGACAUCAUGAUAGGUCCACACAGAGUGACAUUAUGAUAGGUCCACACAAAGUGACAUCAAGAUAGGUCCACACAAAGUGACAUCAUGAUAGGUCCACACAGAGUGACAUUAUGAUAGGUCCACACAAAGUGACAUCAAGAUAGGUCCACACAAAGUGACAUAAGGAUAGGUCCACACAAAGUGACAUUAUGAUAGGUCCACACAGAGUGACAUUAUGACAGGUCCACACAAAGUGACAUCAAGAUAGGUCUACACAAAGUGACAUCAAGAUAGGUCCACACAAAGUGACAUCAUGAUAGGUCCACACAAAGUGACAUCAUGAUAGGUCCACACAAAGUGACAUUAUG